GACAGAGGCCUCAAGCGUUAGGUGGAAUCACUGGGCUUAAAGCGUGUGUAGGCGGAUCGUUAAGUGCCUUGUGAAAUCCCACGGCUUAACUGUGGAACGGCUGGGCAUACUGGCGGUCUUGAGCCAUCUAGGGGCGACUGGAACAAACGGUGGAGCGGUGAAAUGCGUAGAUAUCGUUUGGAACGCCAAUGGUGAAAACAGGUCGCUGGGGAUGCGCUGACGCUGAGACACGAAAGCCAGGGGAGCAAACGGG
RNAcentral lists this ribosomal RNA (253 nucleotides) under uncultured bacterium. Its description in RNAcentral is "partial 16S ribosomal RNA". It matches the Rfam family "Bacterial small subunit ribosomal RNA", at positions 524 to 776 of the family's 1533-position model. The record is from RNAcentral.